GAAAUGCGAUACGUAGUGUGAAUUGCAGAAUCCUGUGAAUCAUCGAAUCUUUGAACGCAUCUGGCGCUUCAGGGCAUUCCCUGGAGCAUGCCUGUUUGAGCAUCAGCUAUAACCCUCUUGCGCACACUGUAACAAGUGGUGCAAGGUGCAAGGCUGGGUGUCACGCGCUGCUGCGCGUGUCGCCUGAAAUGGAACACGAAAGGUGGCGGAACCAACGUAGUCCCCCAAGGCAUCGUGUGUGGUAGGCAGGAGGUGCGCUCGCGCACCCACCGCAUAACACAUCGCACGGCGCCCGGCGGCGGGCUGGUCCCCCCACUGUUAGCAUAACACCUUUCAGCAAUGAUCUCAAAUCAGGCAAGACUACCCGCUGAAUUUAA
Molecule: unclassified non-coding RNA, 377 nt
Filed under: uncultured fungus
Lineage: Eukaryota; Fungi
Description: sequence contains ITS1
Rfam family: 5.8S ribosomal RNA (bases 1-105)
Source: RNAcentral